AGUGAACGCUGGCGGUAGGCCUAACACAUGCAAGUCGAACGGCAGCACAGUAAGAGCUUGCUCUUACGGGUGGCGAGUGGCGGACGGGUGAGGAAUACAUCGGAAUCUACUUUUUCGUGGGGGAUAACGUAGGGAAACUUACGCUAAUACCGCAUACGACCUACGGGUGAAAGCAGGGGAUCUUCGGACCUUGCGCGAUUGAAUGAGCCGAUGUCGGAUUAGCUAGUUGGCGGGGUAAAGGCCCACCAAGGCGACGAUCCGUAGCUGGUCUGAGAGGAUGAUCGGCCACACUGGAACUGAGACACGGUCCAGACUCCUACGGGAGGCAGCAGUGGGGAAUCUUGCACAAUGGGCGAAAGCCUGACGCAGCAACGCCGCGUGAGUGAGGAAGGCCUUCGGUUCGUAAAACCCUUUUAUUGGGAAAGAAAAGAAGCGGAUGAAACCCCGCCUUUCUUGACGGUACCAAAGCAGAAAGCCCCGGCUAACUUCGUG
This 492-nucleotide ribosomal RNA is filed under the name uncultured bacterium. Its description in RNAcentral is "partial 16S ribosomal RNA". It matches the Rfam family "Bacterial small subunit ribosomal RNA", at positions 29 to 507 of the family's 1533-position model. The record is from RNAcentral.